RNAcentral lists this ribosomal RNA (1529 nucleotides) under Salinicola tamaricis. RNAcentral's name for it is "16S ribosomal RNA". It matches the Rfam family "Bacterial small subunit ribosomal RNA". The record is from RNAcentral. Lineage: Bacteria; Pseudomonadati; Pseudomonadota; Gammaproteobacteria; Oceanospirillales; Halomonadaceae.
AGAGUUUGAUCAUGGCUCAGAUUGAACGCUGGCGGCAGGCCUAACACAUGCAAGUCGAGCGGCAGCACGGGGAGCUUGCUCCCUGGUGGCGAGCGGCGGACGGGUGAGUAAUGCAUAGGAAUCUGCCCGGUAGUGGGGGAUAACCUGGGGAAACCCAGGCUAAUACCGCAUACGUCCUACGGGAGAAAGCAGGGGCUCUUCGGACCUUGCGCUAUCGGAUGAGCCUAUGUCGGAUUAGCUGGUUGGUGAGGUAAUGGCUCACCAAGGCGACGAUCCGUAGCUGGUCUGAGAGGAUGAUCAGCCACACUGGGACUGAGACACGGCCCAGACUCCUACGGGAGGCAGCAGUGGGGAAUAUUGGACAAUGGGCGCAAGCCUGAUCCAGCCAUGCCGCGUGUGUGAAGAAGGCCCUCGGGUUGUAAAGCACUUUCAGCGAGGAAGAAGGCUUGGCGGCUAAUAUCCGUCAAGAAGGACAUCACUCGCAGAAGAAGCACCGGCUAACUCCGUGCCAGCAGCCGCGGUAAUACGGAGGGUGCGAGCGUUAAUCGGAAUUACUGGGCGUAAAGCGCGCGUAGGUGGUUUGGCACGCCGGUUGUGAAAGCCCCGGGCUCAACCUGGGAACGGCAUCCGGAACGGCCAGACUAGAGUGCAGGAGAGGAAGGUAGAAUUCCCGGUGUAGCGGUGAAAUGCGUAGAGAUCGGGAGGAAUACCAGUGGCGAAGGCGGCCUUCUGGCCUGACACUGACACUGAGGUGCGAAAGCGUGGGUAGCAAACAGGAUUAGAUACCCUGGUAGUCCACGCCGUAAACGAUGUCGACUAGCCGUUGGGACCUUUAAGGACUUAGUGGCGCAGUUAACGCGAUAAGUCGACCGCCUGGGGAGUACGGCCGCAAGGUUAAAACUCAAAUGAAUUGACGGGGGCCCGCACAAGCGGUGGAGCAUGUGGUUUAAUUCGAUGCAACGCGAAGAACCUUACCUACCCUUGACAUCCAGAGAACUUGGCAGAGAUGCCUUGGUGCCUUCGGGAACUCUGAGACAGGUGCUGCAUGGCUGUCGUCAGCUCGUGUUGUGAAAUGUUGGGUUAAGUCCCGUAACGAGCGCAACCCUUGUCCUUAUUUGCCAGCACGUAAUGGUGGGAACUCUAAGGAGACUGCCGGUGACAAACCGGAGGAAGGUGGGGACGACGUCAAGUCAUCAUGGCCCUUACGGGUAGGGCUACACACGUGCUACAAUGGCCGGUACAAAGGGUUGCGAGACCGCGAGGUGGAGCGAAUCCCAGAAAGCCGGCCUCAGUCCGGAUCGGAGUCUGCAACUCGACUCCGUGAAGUCGGAAUCGCUAGUAAUCGUGAAUCAGAAUGUCACGGUGAAUACGUUCCCGGGCCUUGUACACACCGCCCGUCACACCAUGGGAGUGGACUGCACCAGAAGUGGUUAGCUUAACCUUCGGGGGAGCGAUCACCACGGUGUGGUUCAUGACUGGGGUGAAGUCGUAACAAGGUAGCCGUAGGGGAACCUGCGGCUGGAUCACCU